RNAcentral lists this ribosomal RNA (2903 nucleotides) under Escherichia coli. RNAcentral's name for it is "23S ribosomal RNA". It matches the Rfam family "Bacterial large subunit ribosomal RNA". The record is from RNAcentral. Lineage: Bacteria; Pseudomonadati; Pseudomonadota; Gammaproteobacteria; Enterobacterales; Enterobacteriaceae.
GGUUAAGCGACUAAGCGUACACGGUGGAUGCCCUGGCAGUCAGAGGCGAUGAAGGACGUGCUAAUCUGCGAUAAGCGUCGGUAAGGUGAUAUGAACCGUUAUAACCGGCGAUUUCCGAAUGGGGAAACCCAGUGUGAUUCGUCACACUAUCAUUAACUGAAUCCAUAGGUUAAUGAGGCGAACCGGGGGAACUGAAACAUCUAAGUACCCCGAGGAAAAGAAAUCAACCGAGAUUCCCCCAGUAGCGGCGAGCGAACGGGGAGCAGCCCAGAGCCUGAAUCAGUGUGUGUGUUAGUGGAAGCGUCUGGAAAGGCGCGCGAUACAGGGUGACAGCCCCGUACACAAAAAUGCACAUACUGUGAGCUCGAUGAGUAGGGCGGGACACGUGGUAUCCUGUCUGAAUAUGGGGGGACCAUCCUCCAAGGCUAAAUACUCCUGACUGACCGAUAGUGAACCAGUACCGUGAGGGAAAGGCGAAAAGAACCCCGGCGAGGGGAGUGAAAAAGAACCUGAAACCGUGUACGUACAAGCAGUGGGAGCACGCUUAGGCGUGUGACUGCGUACCUUUUGUAUAAUGGGUCAGCGACUUAUAUUCUGUAGCAAGGUUAACCGAAUAGGGGAGCCGAAGGGAAACCGAGUCUUAACUGGGCGUUAAGUUGCAGGGUAUAGACCCGAAACCCGGUGAUCUAGCCAUGGGCAGGUUGAAGGUUGGGUAACACUAACUGGAGGACCGAACCGACUAAUGUUGAAAAAUUAGCGGAUGACUUGUGGCUGGGGGUGAAAGGCCAAUCAAACCGGGAGAUAGCUGGUUCUCCCCGAAAGCUAUUUAGGUAGCGCCUCGUGAAUUCAUCUCCGGGGGUAGAGCACUGUUUCGGCAAGGGGGUCAUCCCGACUUACCAACCCGAUGCAAACUGCGAAUACCGGAGAAUGUUAUCACGGGAGACACACGGCGGGUGCUAACGUCCGUCGUGAAGAGGGAAACAACCCAGACCGCCAGCUAAGGUCCCAAAGUCAUGGUUAAGUGGGAAACGAUGUGGGAAGGCCCAGACAGCCAGGAUGUUGGCUUAGAAGCAGCCAUCAUUUAAAGAAAGCGUAAUAGCUCACUGGUCGAGUCGGCCUGCGCGGAAGAUGUAACGGGGCUAAACCAUGCACCGAAGCUGCGGCAGCGACACUAUGUGUUGUUGGGUAGGGGAGCGUUCUGUAAGCCUGUGAAGGUGUGCUGUGAGGCAUGCUGGAGGUAUCAGAAGUGCGAAUGCUGACAUAAGUAACGAUAAAGCGGGUGAAAAGCCCGCUCGCCGGAAGACCAAGGGUUCCUGUCCAACGUUAAUCGGGGCAGGGUGAGUCGACCCCUAAGGCGAGGCCGAAAGGCGUAGUCGAUGGGAAACAGGUUAAUAUUCCUGUACUUGGUGUUACUGCGAAGGGGGGACGGAGAAGGCUAUGUUGGCCGGGCGACGGUUGUCCCGGUUUAAGCGUGUAGGCUGGUUUUCCAGGCAAAUCCGGAAAAUCAAGGCUGAGGCGUGAUGACGAGGCACUACGGUGCUGAAGCAACAAAUGCCCUGCUUCCAGGAAAAGCCUCUAAGCAUCAGGUAACAUCAAAUCGUACCCCAAACCGACACAGGUGGUCAGGUAGAGAAUACCAAGGCGCUUGAGAGAACUCGGGUGAAGGAACUAGGCAAAAUGGUGCCGUAACUUCGGGAGAAGGCACGCUGAUAUGUAGGUGAGGUCCCUCGCGGAUGGAGCUGAAAUCAGUCGAAGAUACCAGCUGGCUGCAACUGUUUAUUAAAAACACAGCACUGUGCAAACACGAAAGUGGACGUAUACGGUGUGACGCCUGCCCGGUGCCGGAAGGUUAAUUGAUGGGGUCAGCGCAAGCGAAGCUCUUGAUCGAAGCCCCGGUAAACGGCGGCCGUAACUAUAACGGUCCUAAGGUAGCGAAAUUCCUUGUCGGGUAAGUUCCGACCUGCACGAAUGGCGUAAUGAUGGCCAGGCUGUCUCCACCCGAGACUCAGUGAAAUUGAACUCGCUGUGAAGAUGCAGUGUACCCGCGGCAAGACGGAAAGACCCCGUGAACCUUUACUAUAGCUUGACACUGAACAUUGAGCCUUGAUGUGUAGGAUAGGUGGGAGGCUUGGAAGUGUGGACGCCAGUCUGCAUGGAGCCGACCUUGAAAUACCACCCUUUAAUGUUUGAUGUUCUAACGUUGACCCGUAAUCCGGGUUGCGGACAGUGUCUGGUGGGUAGUUUGACUGGGGCGGUCUCCUCCUAAAGAGUAACGGAGGAGCACGAAGGUUGGCUAAUCCUGGUCGGACAUCAGGAGGUUAGUGCAAUGGCAUAAGCCAGCUUGACUGCGAGCGUGACGGCGCGAGCAGGUGCGAAAGCAGGUCAUAGUGAUCCGGUGGUUCUGAAUGGAAGGGCCAUCGCUCAACGGAUAAAAGGUACUCCGGGGAUAACAGGCUGAUACCGCCCAAGAGUUCAUAUCGACGGCGGUGUUUGGCACCUCGAUGUCGGCUCAUCACAUCCUGGGGCUGAAGUAGGUCCCAAGGGUAUGGCUGUUCGCCAUUUAAAGUGGUACGCGAGCUGGGUUUAGAACGUCGUGAGACAGUUCGGUCCCUAUCUGCCGUGGGCGCUGGAGAACUGAGGGGGGCUGCUCCUAGUACGAGAGGACCGGAGUGGACGCAUCACUGGUGUUCGGGUUGUCAUGCCAAUGGCACUGCCCGGUAGCUAAAUGCGGAAGAGAUAAGUGCUGAAAGCAUCUAAGCACGAAACUUGCCCCGAGAUGAGUUCUCCCUGACCCUUUAAGGGUCCUGAAGGAACGUUGAAGACGACGACGUUGAUAGGCCGGGUGUGUAAGCGCAGCGAUGCGUUGAGCUAACCGGUACUAAUGAACCGUGAGGCUUAACCUU